This 274-nucleotide ribosomal RNA is filed under the name uncultured bacterium. RNAcentral describes it as "partial 16S ribosomal RNA". It matches the Rfam family "Bacterial small subunit ribosomal RNA", at positions 523 to 796 of the family's 1533-position model. The record is from RNAcentral.
AUACGGAGGGGGCUAGCGUUGUUCGGAAUUACUGGGCGUAAAGCGUACGUAGGCGGACUGAUCAGUUGGGGGUGAAAUCCCAGGGCUUAACCCUGGGACUGCCUUCAAUACUGUCAGUCUUGAGUUUGGGAGAGGUGAGUGGAAUUCCUAGUGUAGAGGUGAAAUUCAUAGAUAUUAGGAGGAACACCAGUGGCGAAGGCGGCUCACUGGCCCAUUACUGACGCUGAGGUACGAAAGCGUGGGGAGCAAACAGGAUUAGAAACCCCAGUAGUCC